UACGUAAGUGGCGAGCGUUAUCCGGAAUUACUGGGCGUAAAGCGUGCGCAGGCGGUUGUGCAAGACCGAUGUGAAAUCCCCGGGCUUAACCUGGGAAUGGCAUUGGUGACUGCACGGCUAGAGUGUGUCAGAGGGGGGUAGAAUUCCACGUGUAGCAGUGAAAUGCGUAGAGAUGUGGAGGAAUACCGAUGGCGAAGGCAGCCCCCUGGGAUAACACUGACGCUCAUGCACGAAAGCGUGGGGAGCAAACAGG
This 253-nucleotide ribosomal RNA is filed under the name uncultured bacterium. RNAcentral describes it as "partial 16S ribosomal RNA". It matches the Rfam family "Bacterial small subunit ribosomal RNA", at positions 524 to 776 of the family's 1533-position model. The record is from RNAcentral.